RNAcentral lists this transfer RNA (74 nucleotides) under Providencia phage vB_PreS_PR1. It matches the Rfam family "tRNA". From Rfam's summary of the family: Transfer RNA (tRNA) molecules are approximately 80 nucleotides in length. Their secondary structure includes four short double-helical elements and three loops (D, anti-codon, and T loops). Further hydrogen bonds mediate the characteristic L-shaped molecular structure. tRNAs have two regions of fundamental functional importance: the anti-codon, which is responsible for specific mRNA codon recognition, and the 3' end, to which the tRNAs corresponding amino acid is attached (by aminoacyl-tRNA synthetases). tRNAs cope with the degeneracy of the genetic code in two manners: having more than one tRNA (with a specific anti-codon) for a particular amino acid; and 'wobble' base-pairing, i.e. permitting non-standard base-pairing at the 3rd anti-codon position. The record is from Rfam by way of RNAcentral. Lineage: Duplodnaviria; Heunggongvirae; Uroviricota; Caudoviricetes; Demerecviridae.
AGGUAUGAGGUCGAAAUGGACAAGACACCGCACUGUCACUGCGGAGAUAGCGGGUUCGAUCCCCGUCAUACCUG